GCUGAAGCUCCAGCUUGCUGGGGUGGAUGAGUGGCGAACGGGUGAGUAAUACGUGAGUAACCUGCCCUUGACUCUGGGAUAAGCCUGGGAAACCGGGUCUAAUACUGGAUACGACUCCUCAUCGCAUGGUGGGGUGUGGAAAGGGUUUUACUGGUUUUGGAUGGGCUCACGGCCUAUCAGCUUGUUGGUGGGGUAAUGGCCUACCAAGGCGACGACGGGUAGCCGGCCUGAGAGGGUGACCGGCCACACUGGGACUGAGACACGGCCCAGACUCCUACGGGAGGCAGCAGUGGGGAAUAUUGCACAAUGGGCGCAAGCCUGAUGCAGCGACGCCGCGUGAGGGAUGACGGCCUUCGGGUUGUAAACCUCUUUCAGCAGGGAAGAAGCCACAAGUGACGGUACCUGCAGAAGAAGCGCCGGCUAACUACGUGCCAGCAGCCGCGGUAAUACGUAGGGCGCAAGCGUUGUCCGGAAUUAUUGGGCGUAAAGAGCUCGUAGGCGGUUUGUCGCGUCUGCUGUGAAAGCCCGGGGCUCAACCCCGGGUCUGCAGUGGGUACGGGCAGACUAGAGUGCAGUAGGGGAGACUGGAAUUCCUGGUGUAGCGGUGAAAUGCGCAGAUAUCAGGAGGAACACCGAUGGCGAAGGCAGGUCUCUGGGCUGUUACUGACGCUGAGGAGCGAAAGCAUGGGGAGCGAACAGGAUUAGAU
This 707-nucleotide ribosomal RNA is filed under the name Kocuria sp. MJS29. RNAcentral's name for it is "bacterial SSU rRNA". It matches the Rfam family "Bacterial small subunit ribosomal RNA", at positions 66 to 783 of the family's 1533-position model. The record is from RNAcentral. Lineage: Bacteria; Bacillati; Actinomycetota; Actinomycetes; Micrococcales; Micrococcaceae.